AAAUAGAACUUUGCAGAGAGAGUUAACAGGGCGUGAAACCGUUAAUUGGCAAACGAAUCGGAGCCACGAAGUCGUUUCGUUGUUUAGUCUGGAUCAGGUUCAGCGGGUGGUCGCGAGGCCCCCGUGUACUCCUGGGUCUGGCCAAACCUUGUAAGCGUACACUGCAACCAGUUAGACGAUCAGUAGUGGGUCAAGUGUUGUGAGCGGCGAGCAAUCGCCGCGAGCUCCACGCAAGAAUUGUCCGUCCAGACUAGUAGUAGCGCGGCCGUGUUUCGGCACGGUUUGUGCUGCUGGGUUUGCGGCGGGUGAACUACAACUGAAUACUGACUGGCGAAAUGAAAAUCGCUUCCCUCGGGAGCGUUAGAGACAAAGCUGCUGGCCGCAUGCGGGCCUACACGCUCGACUGUUGGGUCUAAGCUUGGCGUUUUCGAAUUCAGACUUGCUUGCUACCAGUGGGGCAACUCCUGGUGCUUGUAUAGCUUCUGUCUAAUCAGGCGUCGACUUGGCCUAGCAUCGUUCGGGUGUGCUGCGAUGGGGUUUGUAUGCGAGCUGGUAAGCAAUGUGAAUUGGCAGUGAGUAGGUCGGCUUUCCGAACGACCCGUCUUGAAACACGGACCAAGGAGUCUAAUUAGGCAUCGAGUCGAUCGGUCUUGAAUAGGCCAGACAGAGCGUUUUAGGACGCUCGAUCGAAGGCGUAGAGAAAUCAAAUCGUGUGAUCACACUGGCAACAACAGCCUGGGUGCGCAACAUGUGCCUGUUCGUGUGGCAAUGUAGCAAUACUUGCCGAGCGGAGCAGAGAGAUGCCUGAUUGGGACC
Molecule: ribosomal RNA, 816 nt
Filed under: Tegolophus sp. 'vagans'
Lineage: Eukaryota; Metazoa; Arthropoda; Arachnida; Trombidiformes; Eriophyidae
Description: partial 28S ribosomal RNA
Rfam family: Eukaryotic large subunit ribosomal RNA
Source: RNAcentral